CAUGCAAGUCGAACGGCAGCGCGGGGCAACCUGGCGGCGAGUGGCGAACGGGUGAGUAAUAUAUCGGAACGUACCCUGGAGUGGGGGAUAACGUAGCGAAAGUUACGCUAAUACCGCAUACGAUCUAAGGAUGAAAGUGGGGGAUGCGCAAGCACCUCAUGCUCCUGGAGCGGCCGAUAUCUGAUUAGCUAGUUGGUGGGGUAAAGGCCUACCAAGGCAUCGAUCAGUAGCUGGUCUGAGAGGACGACCAGCCACACUGGAACUGAGACACGGUCCAGACUCCUACGGGAGGCAGCAGUGGGGAAUUUUGGACAAUGGGCGAAAGCCUGAUCCAGCAAUGCCGCGUGAGUGAAGAAGGCCUUCGGGUUGUAAAGCUCUUUUGUCAGGGAAGAAACGGUGAGGGCUAAUAUCCCUUGCUAAUGACGGUACCUGAAGAAUAAGCACCGGCUAACUACGUGCCAGCAGCCGCGGUAAUACGUAGGGUGCAAGCGUUAAUCGGAAUUACUGGGCGUAAAGCGUGCGCAGGCGGUUUUGUAAGUCUGUCGUGAAAUCCCCGGGCUCAACCUGGGAAUUGCGAUGGAGACUGCAAGGCUAGAAUCUGGCAGAGGGGGGUAGAAUUCCACGUGUAGCAGUGAAAUGCGUAGAGAUGUGGAGGAACACCGAUGGCGAAGGCAGCCCCCUGGGUCAAGAUUGACGCUCAUGCACGAAAGCGUGGGGAGCAAACAGGAUUAGAUACCCUGGUAGUCCACGCCCUAAACGAUGUCUACUAGUUGUCGGGUUUUAAUUAACUUGGUAACGCAGCUAACGCGUGAAGUAGACCGCCUGGGGAGUACGGUCGCAAGAUUAAAACUCAAAGGAAUUGACGGGGACCCGCACAAGCGGUGGAUGAUGUGGAUUAAUUCGAUGCAACGCGAAAAACCUUACCUACCCUUGACAUGUACGGAAGCCACGAGAGAUCGAGGUGUGCUCGAAAGAGAGCCGUAACACAGGUGCUGCAUGGCUGUCGUCAGCUCGUGUCGUGAGAUGUUGGGUUAAGUCCCGCAACGAGCGCAACCCUUGUCAUUAGUUGCUACGAAAGGGCACUCUAAUGA
This 1091-nucleotide ribosomal RNA is filed under the name Massilia atriviolacea. RNAcentral describes it as "bacterial SSU rRNA". It matches the Rfam family "Bacterial small subunit ribosomal RNA", at positions 54 to 1146 of the family's 1533-position model. Lineage: Bacteria; Pseudomonadati; Pseudomonadota; Betaproteobacteria; Burkholderiales; Oxalobacteraceae. The record is from RNAcentral.